This 492-nucleotide ribosomal RNA is filed under the name uncultured bacterium. Its description in RNAcentral is "partial 16S ribosomal RNA". It matches the Rfam family "Bacterial small subunit ribosomal RNA", at positions 29 to 507 of the family's 1533-position model. The record is from RNAcentral.
AGUGAACGCUGGCGGUAGGCCUAACACAUGCAAGUCGAACGGCAGCACAGUAAGAGCUUGCUCUUACGGGUGGCGAGUGGCGGACGGGUGAGGAAUACAUCGGAAUCUACUUUUUCGUGGGGGAUAACGUAGGGAAACUUACGCUAAUACCGCAUACGACCUACGGGUGAAAGCAGGGGAUCUUCGGACCUUGCGCGACUGAAUGAGCCGAUGUCGGAUUAGCUAGUUGGCGGGGUAAAGGCCCACCAAGGCGACGAUCCGUAGCUGGUCUGAGAGGAUGAUCGGCCACACUGGAACUGAGACACGGUCCAGACUCCUACGGGAGGCAGCAGUGGGGAAUAUUGGGCAAUGGGCGCAAGCCUGAUCCAGCCAUACCGCGUGGGUGAAGAAGGCCUUCGGGUUGUAAAGCCCUUUUGUUGGGAAAGAAAAGCAGCAGGUUAAUACCCCGCUGUUCUGACGGUACCCAAAGAAUAAGCACCGGCUAACUUCGUG